Long non-coding RNA from Ictalurus punctatus (channel catfish), 622 nucleotides. NCBI's taxonomy places the organism in Eukaryota, Metazoa, Chordata, Actinopteri, Siluriformes, Ictaluridae. The record is from Ensembl.
UGAAAACAGACGAACAUAAGGGAACGGGGGAAAAACUUAAAAGAGAAACGUAACGGGCAUGAGAAAAAAACUGAAACAUAAACAUAUUGCGCUGGGAAAAACAGCAGCGCCUCCGGGCCCAUUUAGUUGCCGAAUGGGGGGGGGGGGGGGGGUUACUUUAUAUGUGAACAUCAUUUACAGUAUUGUGCAAAAGUUUUAGGCACCCUACUUUUUUUUUUUUAGCACAAACUUUGUUAUGGAUUUUUUUUUAUCUUAUGACUUCUACAUUAUCGAGUCAGUACAAAAACAUUUGAGAUUUCCAAACAUUAGUUUUCCAGCACAAAAUGAAAUGUUAGUAAAUGGUCUGCGCUUAUAUAGCGCUCUUUUUUUAACCUUAGCAGUUCCAAAGCGCUUUACACUGGUUCUCAUUUACCCAUUCACACACCAAUGGUAGCAGAUGUGCCAUGCAAGGCGCUAGCUUCAGCGUCUUGCCCAAGGACACUUCGGCAUGUGGAGUCGUGUGGGGUGGGAAUCGAACCGCCAACCCUACGGUUAGCAGGUUGAAUAGCGGACCCUACGGUUAGCAAGUUGAUUAGCAGAGCCUACGGUUAGCAGGUUGAUUAGCGGACCCUACGUUCAGCAG